GGGCGUGUGGUCCAGCCUGGUUAAGACACCGCUCUCACAAAGCGGGAAUCGAUGGUUCAAAUCCGUCCACGCCCACCA
This 78-nucleotide transfer RNA is filed under the name Nitrososphaerota archaeon. RNAcentral's name for it is "tRNA-Val". It matches the Rfam family "tRNA". Rfam says of the family: Transfer RNA (tRNA) molecules are approximately 80 nucleotides in length. Their secondary structure includes four short double-helical elements and three loops (D, anti-codon, and T loops). The record is from RNAcentral. Lineage: Archaea; Thermoproteati; Nitrososphaerota.